UCGGACGUGGUGCACGGUGCACGCCCGCUCUCUCUGCCCCACGUCGACCCCUCGGUGAUGCGGGAGGCCUGGGUUCGACUCCCAGCGUCCGGA
Non-coding RNA from Mycena latifolia, 93 nucleotides. NCBI's taxonomy places the organism in Eukaryota, Fungi, Basidiomycota, Agaricomycetes, Agaricales, Mycenaceae. The record is from the annotation of a GenBank genome assembly.